This 419-nucleotide ribosomal RNA is filed under the name bacterium. Its description in RNAcentral is "partial 16S ribosomal RNA". It matches the Rfam family "Bacterial small subunit ribosomal RNA", at positions 355 to 776 of the family's 1533-position model. The record is from RNAcentral.
UGGGGGAUAUUGCACAAUGGGCGAAAGCCUGAUGCAGCGACGCCGCGUGGGGGAUGAAGGCUUUCGGGUUGUAAACCUCUUUCGCUAUCGAACAAGGCCCGCUUAGGGUGGGUUGAGGGUAGGUGGAGAAGAAGCGCCGGCUAACUACGUGCCAGCAGCCGCGGUAAUACGUAGGGCGCGAGCGUUGUCCGGAAUUAUUGGGCGUAAAGGGCUUGUAGGCGGCUUGUUGCGCCUGCUGUGAAAACGCGGGGCUUAACUUCGCGCGUGCAGGGGUACGGGCAGGCUUGAGUGUGGUAGGGGUGACUGGAAUUCCAGGUGUAGCGGUGGAAUGCGCAGAUAUCUGGAGGAACACCGAUGGCGAAGGCAGGUCACUGGGCCAUUACUGACGCUGAGGAGCGAAAGCAUGGGUAGCGAACAGG